Molecule: ribosomal RNA, 354 nt
Filed under: uncultured crenarchaeote
Lineage: Archaea; Thermoproteati; Thermoproteota
Description: partial 16S ribosomal RNA
Rfam family: Archaeal small subunit ribosomal RNA
Source: RNAcentral
GUGCAGCAGUCGCGAAAACUCCGCAAUACGCGAAAGCGUGACGGGGCCACCCCGAGUGCCGUCCGCUGAGGAUGGCUUUUCCCUAGUGUAAAUAGCUGGGGGAAUAAGGAGAGGGCAAGUCUGGUGUCAGCCGCCGCGGUAAUACCAGCUCUCCGAGUGGUAGGGAUGAUUAUUGGGCCUAAAGCGUCCGUAGCCGGCUGGGCAAGUCCCCCGUUAAAUCCAACGAUUCAAUCGUUGGAUUGCGGGGGAUACUGUUCGGCUAGGGGGCGGGAGAGGCCGACGGUAUUCCCGGGGUAGGGGUGAAAUCCUAUAAUCCCGGGAGGACCACCAGUGGCGAAGGCUGUUGGCUAGAAC